Molecule: long non-coding RNA, 1382 nt
Organism: Homo sapiens (human)
Lineage: Eukaryota; Metazoa; Chordata; Mammalia; Primates; Hominidae
Gene: COMETT
Product: cytosolic oncogenic antisense to MET transcript
Exons: 5
Source: RefSeq, marked validated
AUGCUCAGGAUUGGAUUUAUAUGACUGAUCAGUUUCCUCUGCUGUUAUCGAAAGCAGAUAUCAAAUGGCUGUGGAGGAAUGCAGGUGAUUGGAGUUGGUCCAAAGGGAAGUUGUGAGUUCUGGGAGGCAGAAGGAAAGCAGCUGCCAUGUUCUGAAGGUUAUCAGCACCUGUUGGUGAUAGAAACAGACACAGAGGUGUUAGCAGGUUCCUGUUUGUCCUCGCACCCCCCUCCCUCCUGAUGGUGACCUUGUCCCAGGUCUUCUACCAGGCCUUCUACCAGAUGCUUUGCUGAGAAUUCACAGAGGCCGUAGACCUGAAGAACCAACAACCUUCCAUAGGCUUUGAGGUCCCACUCCGGCAGCAGGACGUGCUGGCUCCCAGGAAUCACUCCCCUUGACUGGGCAAACUUCAAACAAGUGACUGAGCUCCCUUAGCUGCCACUGAUUGGACCAGGAUGGACAACAAAUGUAGGAGGAGUUCAUCUGGAUCUAGCCUGAGCCAGUCAGAUAUCCCCUUUGAAUCCAUGCCUAUAGAAAUACAAAAAAAUGGAAGCCAGAGGAUGAUGGAUCCUUGAAGUAAUAAGUCAGGUAGAUCUUGAAAAUUUUUGACUCAAUCCAUAUUGAUGAACACAAGAAUAAUUCUGGUCUACAAAGAGAGGCAAGAGAAAGACUUGGGGUGUAUUAAGAAAAACAGCUCUGUGGAAGUUUGAGUGACUCAUUGCAGAGAGGAAUUGAUGAAGUCAACAGCUGCUGGAAAAACUUCUUUUUCCUUAAUAGCUGUAUCAACAUGUGGUUGCUAUUAUUCAAAGUGGAUGAAAUAAUUCUGCAAGCCAGUGGGAACAGGAAGCUUCAUGAAGAGGAGAAAGGCUUAGGGCUCAGAAACCGCACAGAGCAGGAGGAUAGAUGAAUGUAAGGAACAGAGCUUUGAGGACAGACACCCCUGGAUUAGACAAUAGCUCCAAAACUUAUUAAUGAUGGUGAAUGGGUGACUUUCUAAAACCCUUUAAACCUUAUUUGUAAAAUGGGACCAUCAAUAUCUAUUUUGAAAUCUUGUAUAAAUUUGCAAUAAUGUCUGUAAAGUAUCUGACAGGAGCUCAGAAAUGACACAAUUCUUUAAAUCCACUCACACCCAACUUUUAAACAAAAAGUAGCAGUAUAUCCUACACACGAUUUUUAAAUUUUACUAUUUAAGUUAACAUCAUGCUAUGAACAUAUUUCCAUGUCAUUAAAUAUUCUAUUCCAUCCAAUAUUUAAAAGCUAAUAGAAGUCUGUUAAAUGCAUAUGCCAUAAUUUAUUUAACCAAUUCGGUUGUUUUAAUAUUUAUGUUGUUUCCAAUAUAUUAUGCUAUUGACAAUAAAAUGAUGAACAUUUAUGAUGAUGAA